GCGAACGCUGGCGGCAGGCUUAACACAUGCAAGUCGAGCGGACCUUUCGGGGUCAGCGGCGGACGGGUGAGUAACGCGUGGGAACGUGCCUUCCGGUUCGGAAUAACCCUGGGAAACUAGGGCUAAUACCGGAUACGCCCUUAUGGGGAAAGGUUUACUGCCGGAAGAUCGGCCCGCGUCUGAUUAGCUAGUUGGUGGGGUAACGGCCUACCAAGGCGACGAUCAGUAGCUGGUCUGAGAGGAUGAUCAGCCACACUGGGACUGAGACACGGCCCAGACUCCUACGGGAGGCAGCAGUGGGGAAUAUUGGACAAUGGGCGCAAGCCUGAUCCAGCCAUGCCGCGUGAGUGAUGAAGGCCUUAGGGUUGUAAAGCUCUUUUAUCCGGGACGAUAAUGACGGUACCGGAGGAAUAAGCCCCGGCUAACUUCGUG
Molecule: ribosomal RNA, 432 nt
Filed under: uncultured bacterium
Lineage: Bacteria
Description: partial 16S ribosomal RNA
Rfam family: Bacterial small subunit ribosomal RNA
Source: RNAcentral